AGCAGUAGCCGCGGUAAUACGAAGGGUGCAAGCGUUAAUCGGAAUUACUGGGCGUAAAGCGUGCGUAGGCGGCUUUUUAAGUAGGAUGUGAAAUCCCUGAGCUUAACUUAGGAAUUGCAUUCGAUACUGGGAAGCUAGAGUAUGGGAGAGGAUGGUAGAAUUCCAGGUGUAGCGGUGAAAUGCGUAGAGAUCUGGAGGAAUAACGAUGGCGAAGGCAGCCAUCUGGCCUAAUACUGACGCUGAGGUACGAAAGCAUGGGGAGCAAACAGGAUUAGAUACCCGUGUAGUCCUGUCUCUUAUACA
Molecule: ribosomal RNA, 303 nt
Filed under: uncultured bacterium
Lineage: Bacteria
Description: partial 16S ribosomal RNA
Rfam family: Bacterial small subunit ribosomal RNA
Source: RNAcentral